This 310-nucleotide long non-coding RNA is filed under the name Phoenix dactylifera (date palm). RNAcentral describes it as "long non-coding RNA (PDAC_LNC004143)". The record is from RNAcentral. Lineage: Eukaryota; Viridiplantae; Streptophyta; Magnoliopsida; Arecales; Arecaceae.
CGAGGGCUGGCUCGAGUGGAACGGGAACUUCGCGCUCGACACGCUCUACUACGCCGAGUACAUGAACUACGGGCCCGGUUCGGGGCUGGCCGGCCGGGUCAAGUGGCCCGGGUACCGCGUUCUAACCAACUCGGCGGACGCCGUUAAUUUCACCGUAGGUCAGUUUAUUGAUGGGAACCUCUGGCUGCCCUCCACUGGGGUCAAGUACACCUCUGGUUUGACGGCGUGACGAAUAUAAAAGAGUUUGAGGGAGGAGAAAGAAAAGUUGGUGGUGAGUUGUCGAUUUGUUUUGGAUUCUUUGGCAUGAUGC